Molecule: long non-coding RNA, 645 nt
Organism: Hylaeus anthracinus
Lineage: Eukaryota; Metazoa; Arthropoda; Insecta; Hymenoptera; Colletidae
Exons: 3
Source: RefSeq, a predicted model, not a curated record
CUACAAAAGCGAUUUAAAAGAUUUAAUCCGCGGGAAAAUUAGGUUAAAUGGAAAACAUAUAACAAUUCGCGCCCUCAAUGUUCUGGACAAAUGUUACAUUUUGGUAUCAGGAGAACAUAAUAUGCGAAGAGGUGACACGAGAAAUACCAGGUACGUAUCGAAAUUCUGAGGAAAUUUUACAUUUUGGUAUCAAGGAGCACAUGAUAUACGAGGAGGUGGAACGUAGGGAUUCCGGUACGUAUCAACUAACAAAUUUUAACAGCAUCGUGGAAAUUUUCUCUUUAAUUUCCCUUCAUUUCCUUAUACAUUUCCCUCUAAUUUCCCUCCAUUUCCUGGUUUAACAAUGGUCCAAAUCGCUCCGCUCAAAAUUAUGAUGAGAAAUUUCUAAUAAGUCUAAUGGGUCUGAUGGGUUGCCUAAUUCAAAGGGCACAUUUUCGGUACGUGUGGAAAUUUGCAUUUGGUAUCAGGAGAACAUGAUAUGCGAGGAGGUGGCACGAGGAAUUUAAGGUACGUAUCAAAUUCUGGCUAAAUUUUACUCCUGGUAUUAGAAGAACAUGAUGUUCGAAGAGGUGGCACGAGGACUUUAUGGUACGUAUCAAAUUCUGGCUAAAUUUUACUCCUGGCAUCAGGAGAACAUGAUAUACG